CUUUCUUUGCUGGCGACCGGCGCACGGGUGAGUAACACGUAUCCAACCUGCCCUUUACUCGGGGAUAGCCUUUCGAAAGAAGGAUUAAUACCCGAUGGCAUAAUGAUUCCGCAUGGUUUCAUUAUUAAAGGAUUCCGGUAAAGGAUGGGGAUGCGUUCCAUUAGGUUGUUGGUGAGGUAACGGCCCACCAAGCCUUCGAUGGAUAGGGGUUCUGAGAGGAAGGUCCCCCACAUUGGAACUGAGACACGGUCCAA
This 254-nucleotide ribosomal RNA is filed under the name uncultured bacterium. RNAcentral describes it as "partial 16S ribosomal RNA". It matches the Rfam family "Bacterial small subunit ribosomal RNA", at positions 79 to 334 of the family's 1533-position model. The record is from RNAcentral.